GACGAACGCUGGCGGCGUGCUUAAUACAUGCAAGUCUAAGGGGCUUGCACCCUUCGGGGUGUAAGUCACUGGCGCACGGGUGAGUAACACGUAAGUCAUCUGCCCUUGAGUCGGGCAUAACACCGGGAAACCGGUGCUAAUUCUCGAUGAUAUCGAAAGAUCAAAGUCUUCGGGUGCUCAAGGAUGAGCUUGCGUCUGAUUAGCUAGUUGGCGGGGUAAAAGCCCACCAAGGCGACGAUCAGUAGCCGGUCUGAGAGGAUGAUCGGCCACAUUGGGGACUGAGACACGGCCCAGACUCUACGGGGAGGCAGCAGUAAGGAAUAUUGCGCAAUGGAGGAAACUCUGACGCAGCAACGCCGCGUGCAGGAAGAAGGCCCUUUGGGUCGUAAACUGCUGUAGCAGGGGAAUAACGGUCUCCCACGGGGAGACGUGAAGGUACCCUGAAAGUAAGCUCCGGCUAACUACGUGCCAGCAGCCGCGGUAAUACGUAGGGAGCAAGCUGUCCGGAUUCACUGGGUGUAAAGGGUGCGUAGGCGGGAGAGUAAGUCAGUGGUGAAAUCUCACAGCUCAACUGUGAAACUGCCGUUGAUACUGCUUUCUUGAGUUCGGGAGAGGUUGAUGGAAUUCCAGGUGUAGUGGUGAAAUGCGUAGAUAUCUGGAAGAACACCAGUGGCGAAGGCGGUCAACUGGCCCGAAACUGACGCUGAGGCACGAAAGCGU
RNAcentral lists this ribosomal RNA (720 nucleotides) under uncultured bacterium. RNAcentral's name for it is "bacterial SSU rRNA". It matches the Rfam family "Bacterial small subunit ribosomal RNA", at positions 28 to 762 of the family's 1533-position model. The record is from RNAcentral.